RNAcentral lists this ribosomal RNA (498 nucleotides) under uncultured bacterium. RNAcentral's name for it is "partial 16S ribosomal RNA". It matches the Rfam family "Bacterial small subunit ribosomal RNA", at positions 28 to 507 of the family's 1533-position model. The record is from RNAcentral.
GACGAACGCUGGCGGCGUGCCUAAUACAUGCAAGUCGAGCGGACGAAUCGAAAGCUUGCUUUUGAUUCGUUAGCGGCGGACGGGUGAGUAACACGUGGGCAACCUGCCCUGUAGACGGGGAUAACACCGAGAAAUCGGUGCUAAUACCGGAUAACACGAAAUGUCGUAUGACGUUUCGUUGAAAGACGGCGCAAGCUGUCGCUACAGGAUGGGCCCGCGGCGCAUUAGCUAGUUGGUGAGGUAACGGCUCACCAAGGCGACGAUGCGUAGCCGACCUGAGAGGGUGAUCGGCCACACUGGGACUGAGACACGGCCCAGACUCCUACGGGAGGCAGCAGUAGGGAAUCUUCCGCAAUGGACGAAAGUCUGACGGAGCAACGCCGCGUGAGCGAAGAAGGCCUUCGGGUCGUAAAGCUCUGUUGUUAGGGAAGAACAAGUAACGCAGUAACUGGCGUUACCGUGACGGUACCUAACGAGAAAGCCACGGCUAACUACGUG